RNAcentral lists this ribosomal RNA (164 nucleotides) under Arbelaezaster ellsworthii. RNAcentral's name for it is "5.8S ribosomal RNA". It matches the Rfam family "5.8S ribosomal RNA". From Rfam's summary of the family: 5.8S ribosomal RNA (5.8S rRNA) is a component of the large subunit of the eukaryotic ribosome. It is transcribed by RNA polymerase I as part of the 45S precursor that also contains 18S and 28S rRNA. The record is from RNAcentral. Lineage: Eukaryota; Viridiplantae; Streptophyta; Magnoliopsida; Asterales; Asteraceae.
CAAACGACUCUCGGCAACGGAUAUCUCGGCUCACGCAUCGAUGAAGAACGUAGCAAAAUGCGAUACUUGGUGUGAAUUGCAGAAUCCCGUGAACCAUCGAGUUUUUGAACGCAAGUUGCGCCCAAAGCCUUUUGGUUGAGGGCACGUUUGUCUGGGCGUCACAC